This 279-nucleotide ribosomal RNA is filed under the name uncultured Staphylococcus sp. RNAcentral describes it as "partial 16S ribosomal RNA". It matches the Rfam family "Bacterial small subunit ribosomal RNA", at positions 83 to 355 of the family's 1533-position model. Lineage: Bacteria; Bacillati; Bacillota; Bacilli; Caryophanales; Staphylococcaceae. The record is from RNAcentral.
CCUUUGACGUUAGCGGCGGACGGGUGAGUAACACGUGGGUAACCUACCUAUAAGACUGGGAUAACUUCGGGAAACCGGAGCUAAUACCGGAUAAUAUUUAGAACCGCAUGGUUCGAUAGUGAAAGAUGGUUUUGCUAUCACUUAUAGAUGGACCCGCGCCGUAUUAGCUAGUUGGUAAGGUAACGGCUUACCAAGGCGACGAUACGUAGCCGACCUGAGAGGGUGAUCGGCCACACUGGAACUGAGACACGGUCCAGACUCCUACGGGAGGCAGCAGUU